RNAcentral lists this Y RNA (96 nucleotides) under Propithecus coquereli (Coquerel's sifaka). RNAcentral describes it as "Y RNA (ENSPCOG00000006042.1)". It matches the Rfam family "Y RNA". Rfam says of the family: Y RNAs are components of the Ro ribonucleoprotein particle (Ro RNP), in association with Ro60 and La proteins. The Y RNAs and Ro60 and La proteins are well conserved, but the function of the Ro RNP is not known. In humans the RNA component can be one of four small RNAs -- hY1, hY3, hY4 and hY5. Lineage: Eukaryota; Metazoa; Chordata; Mammalia; Primates; Indriidae. The record is from Rfam by way of RNAcentral.
GGCUGGUCCGAUGGUAGUGGGUUAUCGGAACUUAUUAACAUUAGUGUCACUAAAGUUGGUAUUCAACCCCCCACUGCUAAAUUUGACUGGCUUUUA